UCUGCUCAAUGAAAUUAAUUAAAUAGCCGCAGUAAAUUAACUGUGCUAAGGUAGCAUAAUAAUUAGUUUUUUAAUUAAAAACUAGAAUGAAAGAGAAAAUGAAAAAUUAACUUUUUAAUUAUAAUAAAUAAAUAUAAAUUAAUUUAUAAGUUAAAAAUCUUAUAUAAAAUAAAAAGACAAGAAGACCCUUUAGAAUUUUAUAAAUAAAAAAAUUUAAUAAUUAUAAAUUUGAAUAUUUAUUAAGUUGGGGAGACUAUGAAAUAUUAAAAACUUUCACUUUUUUAAAACAAAAAUAAAUGAAUCUAUAAAUAUCCAGUUAACAGCCGAAUAAAAAACAAAUUACCUAAGGGAUAACAGCGUAAAAUUUCUAAAAAGAUCAAAUUUACAGAAUAAAUUACGACCUCGAUGUUGGAUUAAGAAAAAAUUAUAAAGAAGAAUUUAUAAAAAUUAGGUCUGUUCGACCUUUAAUCUCUU
This 474-nucleotide ribosomal RNA is filed under the name Aleyrodes proletella. RNAcentral describes it as "partial large subunit ribosomal RNA". The record is from RNAcentral. Lineage: Eukaryota; Metazoa; Arthropoda; Insecta; Hemiptera; Aleyrodidae.